UUUCUUCUGAAACACUCUGUUCUCUCGAUAAAACCAGCUUUUUUUGCUGAAAAGGGCACAGAUUUUUGGCUCUUCAUCCCAAAGUUUUUAGGUGAAGAUGGAAAAAUACAAGCAGCGGUUAAGACCAUGCUUCGACAUGAUACUUGCCUGCCUUUUCCAAUGCCCUAAGCCACUUCACUGCAGCUUCCUUUGGAACCCCGCCUUCUUUAGAUACAAUUUCUUCAAAUGCCAACAGCACAUCAGAAGGCAUUUUAUCGGCAGAGCCUGCAACAUACACAGCUGCCCCUUCGGUUAAUAGAUUCCAUAUCUUAAAGCUUUCUUCUCUCAUUUUAUGCUGCACAUAAACCUUCUGUUGCUGGUCUCUGGAGAAGGCAGCCAAAAAACCGCCACCUUUUUCUUCAGAAAGGACUCCACCCUUUUGUGAAUGCAACAACCAAAAAUCUCGGUAUAAGAAGUCAUUUUCUUCAUUUCUACAACCAAAGAAGAAAAG
This 490-nucleotide unclassified non-coding RNA is filed under the name Hevea brasiliensis (rubber tree). Lineage: Eukaryota; Viridiplantae; Streptophyta; Magnoliopsida; Malpighiales; Euphorbiaceae. The record is from RNAcentral.